RNAcentral lists this ribosomal RNA (460 nucleotides) under uncultured bacterium. RNAcentral describes it as "partial 16S ribosomal RNA". It matches the Rfam family "Bacterial small subunit ribosomal RNA", at positions 338 to 795 of the family's 1533-position model. The record is from RNAcentral.
CCUACGGGUGGCAGCAGUGAGGAAUAUUGGUCAAUGGACGCAAGUCUGAACCAGCCAUGCCGCGUGCAGGAAGACGGCUCUAUGAGUUGUAAACUGCUUUUGUACGAGGGUAAACGCAUAUACGCGUAGCUGUCUGCAAGUAUCGUACGAAUAAGGAUCGGCUAAAUCCGUGCCAGCAGCCGCGGUAAUACGGAGGAUCCAAGCGUUAUCCGGAUUUAUUGGGUUUAAAGGGUGCGUAGGCGGUCGGAUAAGUUAGAGGUGAAAUCCCGAGGCUCAACUUCGGAAUCGCCUCUGAUACUGUACGGCUAGAGAGUAGUUGCGGUAGGCGGAAUGUAUGGUGUAGCGGUGAAAUGCUUAGAGAUCAUACAGAACCCCGAUUGCGAAGGCAGCUUACCAAGCUACUUCUGACGUUGAGGCACGAAGGCGUGGGUAGCAAACAGGAUUAGAUACCCUGGUAGUC